Molecule: long non-coding RNA, 690 nt
Filed under: Homo sapiens (human)
Lineage: Eukaryota; Metazoa; Chordata; Mammalia; Primates; Hominidae
Description: HSALNT0058857
Source: RNAcentral
GACAAGUCAAGGAUGGAGCCAUGUCUCCACUGGGUCUGGCAGCCAGAUGAACACAGAUGUCUGGUCUGUAGACCAUCUCAUCUACCCGACUUCAGGGCCGCUCUGAGACCUCAAACAUGUUUUAUCUGGGAGUCUUCCUCUUUCAUGACAUUCACAGAAGGCCUAUGGUGUGCCAGGCCCCGUGGACAGCACUGUGGACACAGAUGCAUAAUAACAGUUCCUACCCUCCAGAUAGAGAGGCAAGAAAGGGCUGUGGAAGCAAACCCAAGGUACUAAGGAAGCCGGGAAGAGAACCUACUCUAGACUUGGAAGUUGAAGGGGUCAAGAAACAUUCCUAGAGAAGAUACCUGAGUCUUGAAAACUGAGAAGGAAUUAGUAACCCAACAGAGGUGGGAACUUUCUGAGGACGGAGAUGGAGAGGAAGAUGCUGCCAGCUGAGGGACCACCAUUCUGAAAGCUAGGAGAAAGUGCGCGAUGGAAAGUGGGCCUGAGGGAAAGGCUGUAAGCACCUCACUAUUAAUCACAAUUCUCCCUAUAGGAAAAUAAAUGCUGUUUCUACUUCAGCAAGUUUUUUUCCUUUUGUUUACAUUUUUUCUCAUUAUGAAGUGAUCAUCCUUUAAUUUGGAUGUGAACACUACGUCUAUUUGCAGGACAGACUCACUGUUCUAUAGAGCUCAAGAUUAUUACCAG